UACGUAGGUGGCAAGCGUUGUCCGGAUUUACUGGGUGUAAAGGGUGCGCAGGCGGGAUAGCAAGUCAGCUGUGAAAACUACUGGCUUAACCUGUAGACUGCAGUUGAAACUGUUGCUCUUGAGUGGAGCAGAGGUAGGCGGAAUUCCGAGUGUAGCGGUGAAAUGCGUAGAUAUUCGGAGGAACUCCAGUGGCGAAGGCGGCCUACUGGGCUCUAACUGACGCUGAGGCACGAAAGCAUGGGGAGCAAGC
RNAcentral lists this ribosomal RNA (250 nucleotides) under uncultured prokaryote. Its description in RNAcentral is "partial 16S ribosomal RNA". It matches the Rfam family "Bacterial small subunit ribosomal RNA", at positions 524 to 773 of the family's 1533-position model. The record is from RNAcentral.